RNAcentral lists this ribosomal RNA (360 nucleotides) under Triticum aestivum (bread wheat). RNAcentral's name for it is "partial small subunit ribosomal RNA". Lineage: Eukaryota; Viridiplantae; Streptophyta; Magnoliopsida; Poales; Poaceae. The record is from RNAcentral.
AUGGACUUUAUCACGGGAUUACCCAGGACUCGUUCAGGCUAUGACUCGAUAUGGGUUGUAGUCGAUCGUUUGACGAAGGUAGCUCAUUUCAUCCCAGUGAAGACCACUUACACAAGUGCUAAGUUGGCAAAGAUAUACAUGACCAGGAUCGUAUGUCUGCAUGGAGUUCCAAGGACCAUUGUAUCAGAUAGAGGAACCCAGUUUACCUCAAAGUUUUGGAAUCAGUUGCAUGAGACUCUGGGAACCAGGCUAGAGUUCAGUACAACUUUUCACCCGCAGACAGAUGGGCAGACUGAGAGAGUCAAUCAGAUUUUAGAGGACAUGUUGAGAGCUUGUGCACUAGACUAUGGAUCUAGUUAG